AUACGGAGGAUCCGAGCGUUAUCCGGAUUUAUUGGGUUUAAAGGGUGCGCAGGCGGCCAUUUAAGUCAGCGGUUAAAUCUUGGGGCUAAACCCCAUUCUGCCGUUGAUACUGGGUGGCUUGAUUGCGGUCGAGGUUGGCGGAAUUCGUUGUGUAGCGGUGAAAUGCAUAGAUAUGACGAAGAACACCGAUUGCGUAGGCAGCUGACCAGACCGUAAAUGACACACAUGCACCGACGUGCUCUGCUCGCACUGGAUUAGAUACGCUCGUAGGCUGCAGUGUAAACGAGGAACACUUGAGUUCGGCGAUAUAAUGUCGUAGGCACAGCGCAAGCGAUACGUAUUCCGCCUGGGGUCUGUUGAUGUAACGGGGAAACUGAAAUGAAUUGCCCGGG
This 392-nucleotide ribosomal RNA is filed under the name uncultured bacterium. RNAcentral's name for it is "partial 16S ribosomal RNA". It matches the Rfam family "Bacterial small subunit ribosomal RNA", at positions 523 to 918 of the family's 1533-position model. The record is from RNAcentral.